GUUCAUGGGCGAAGCCUGACCGCAACGCCGCGUGCGCGAUGAAGGCCUUCGGGUCGUAAAGCGCUUUUGGGAGGGAUGAAAAUGACAGUACCUCCCGAAUAAGGAUCGGCUAACUACGUGCCAGCAGCCGCGGUAAGACGUAGGAUCCAAGCGUUAUCCGGAAUUACUGGGCGUAAAGGGCGUGUAGGAGGUUGGGCAAGUCGGCCAUGAAAGCUCCCGGCUCAACUGGGAGAGGCUGGUCGAUACUGCCUGGCUAGAGGGCAAGAGAGGGAGGUGGAAUUCCCGGUGUAGUGGUGAAAUGCGUAGAUAUCGGGAGGAACACCAGUGGCGAAGGCGGCCUCCUGGCUUGUACCUGACUCCGAAACGCGA
Molecule: ribosomal RNA, 369 nt
Filed under: uncultured bacterium
Lineage: Bacteria
Description: bacterial SSU rRNA
Rfam family: Bacterial small subunit ribosomal RNA
Source: RNAcentral